Long non-coding RNA from Spinacia oleracea (spinach), 555 nucleotides. RefSeq lists it as uncharacterized. The record is from RefSeq and is a predicted model, not a curated record. NCBI's taxonomy places the organism in Eukaryota, Viridiplantae, Streptophyta, Magnoliopsida, Caryophyllales, Amaranthaceae. The transcript has 3 exons.
UUCCGCCCUAAUACUCCUUCUGACUCUCAAGGAAACUGAUGCGUCUUUCCGCCGUCGUCAUCAUCACUAGCCUAGUCUUAGCCUCCUCAUCCAAUUGCUUCAUUGAUCGACAUCCACCACCGUUACGCACCACUUGAACCGCCUAUAUACAUGACACAAUCAUCACCGGCUACAAAAAAUUGCAUGGUCGGUAGUGUUCUCGAACCCAACCACCGCGAACCACCCUUGCCGCAUCAAAGCGUCACUCUAAUGUGCAAAUGACGGAGAAUAGUACGGAAGAAAGUUACUGGUGGUGAAAUACGUACUCAAGGUUGGUAAAGGUAUUUGGCUACGAGUGAGGAGACGCUUAGAAUAACCACCUAGUCAAGAGACAAUUUCUAUUUCAGUCUAAGUUGGAUUUUGUUAUUUAUUUUAUGGGAUUUGGUUGUAAUAUUUAUUUAGCCACCUUUUAGACCACUUAGUUAAUUUUGACUUUAAUGAUUUUAAAUUGUUUUGUUGCUUUGUAUUUAUUUUCUAUGAAAAAGAAAUGUAGCAGUGACACUCCCAAGGUUUGGA